AGGACGAACGCUGGCGGCGUGCUUAACACAUGCAAGUCGAGCGAUGAACCUCCUUCGGGAGGGGAUUAGCGGCGAACGGGUGAGUAACACGUGGGCAACCUGCCCUCAGCUCUGGGAUAACCCCUCGAAAGAGGAGCUAAUACCGGAUACGACUUCCUGCGGCAUCACGGGAAGUGGAAAGUUUUUCGGCUGAGGAUGGGCCCGCGGCCUAUCAGCUUGUUGGUGGGUAACGGCCCACAAGGCGACGAC
This 249-nucleotide ribosomal RNA is filed under the name uncultured soil bacterium. Its description in RNAcentral is "partial 16S ribosomal RNA". It matches the Rfam family "Bacterial small subunit ribosomal RNA", at positions 26 to 280 of the family's 1533-position model. The record is from RNAcentral.